AUGCUAGAGGAUCCCUGGAGGAAGUUCACCCUGGGCUGUCAAGGUCUUAGCAGUGUGAGGAUAGAGAAGCUCAUAUUUGGACCAGGGACGACUCUCACAGUUGUAACAAACAUUUCAAAAAAUUCUGACCCUCAAGUCAUUGUGAUGAAAUCAAAGACACUGGAAGGAGAUGGCAGCACUGGGAAAGCAGCUUGUUUGGCAAGGAACUCCCCUACAAAGAACAUCAGCUUGGAGAUGCCCUCUCAGGAGGUCGUCUAUGAACAGGGCACAUCCAUUUUGACAUCAGAGGGGUUGUACAAUGCAAUUAAAGUGGUCAGGCUGACAAAAGACACGGAGGUGACCUGCAUGGCCAAAUUCAACAACCGCACGAUAACAGCACAGCCAGAAGAGGAGCCUGAAGAACCAGUAACAGGGUUUGGGGAACCAAACAGAACCAGGACAGUGUCAGAGGCCAGUGACAGGAUUUGCAACAGCACAGCCCCCUCAGCACAAGACCCUGAAGGGCAGAGAGUGAACAUGCUGUCCAUGGCUGUGCUGGGUUUGAGAGUCCUGCUGGCAAAGAGCAUCGCCUUCAACGCCCUCAUGAGUAUCAAGCUGUUUCUUUCCUGA
Molecule: non-coding RNA, 609 nt
Organism: Passer domesticus (house sparrow)
Lineage: Eukaryota; Metazoa; Chordata; Aves; Passeriformes; Passeridae
Source: the annotation of a RefSeq genome assembly